CCUACGGGAGGCAGCAGUGGGGAAUAUUGCGCAAUGGGGGCAACCCUGACGCAGCCAUGCCGCGUGUGUGAAGAAGGCCUUCGGGUUGUAAAGCACUUUCAGUGGGGAGGAAAGGGCGCUGGCUAAUAUCCAGUGCAGUUGACGCUACCCACAGAAGAAGCACCGGCUAAUUCCGUGCCAGCAGCCGCGGUAAU
RNAcentral lists this ribosomal RNA (194 nucleotides) under uncultured Gammaproteobacteria bacterium. Its description in RNAcentral is "partial 16S ribosomal RNA". It matches the Rfam family "Bacterial small subunit ribosomal RNA", at positions 338 to 524 of the family's 1533-position model. Lineage: Bacteria; Pseudomonadati; Pseudomonadota; Gammaproteobacteria. The record is from RNAcentral.